RNAcentral lists this ribosomal RNA (778 nucleotides) under uncultured bacterium. Its description in RNAcentral is "bacterial SSU rRNA". It matches the Rfam family "Bacterial small subunit ribosomal RNA", at positions 8 to 801 of the family's 1533-position model. The record is from RNAcentral.
AGAGUUUGAUCCUGGCUCAGGACGAACGCUGGCGGCGCGCUUAACACAUGCAAGUCGAGCGAGAACCAGGACUUCGGUCCUGGGGACAGCGGCGAACGGGUGAGUAACGCGUGGGAACCUGCCCUGUGGUACGGAAUAACCCUGGGAAAUCGGAGCUAAUACCGGAUACGAGACGAAGCUGCAUGGCUAUCGUCUGGAAAGUUUUUCGGUCUGGGAUGGACUCGCGGCCUAUCAGCUUGUUGGUGAGGUAAUGGCUCACCAAGGCGACGACGGGUAGCCGGCCUGAGAGGGCGACCGGCCACACUGGGACUGAGACACGGCCCAGACUCCUACGGGAGGCAGCAGUGGGGAAUAUUGCACAAUGGGCGAAAGCCUGAUGCAGCGACGCCGCGUGAGGGAUGACGGCCUUCGGGUUGUAAACCUCUUUCAGCAGGGAAGAAGCGAAAGUGACGGUACCUGCAGAAGAAGCACCGGCUAACUACGUGCCAGCAGCCGCGGUAAUACGUAGGGUGCGAGCGUUGUCCGGAAUUAUUGGGCGUAAAGAGCUCGUAGGCGGUUUGUCGCGUCGAAUGUGAAAACCCGGGGCUCAACCCCGGGCCUGCAUUCGAUACGGGCAGACUAGAGUUCGGUAGGGGAGUCUGGAAUUCCUGGUGUAGCGGUGAAAUGCGCAGAUAUCANGAGGAACACCGGUGGCGAAGGCGGGACUCUGGGCCGAUACUGACGCUGAGGAGCGAAAGCGUGGGGAGCAACAGGAUUAGAUACCCUGGUAGUCCACGCC